UAGGGAAUCUUCCACAAUGGACGAAAGUCUGAUGGAGCAACGCCGCGUGAGUGAAGAAGGGUUUCGGCUCGUAAAACUCUGUUGUUAAAGAAGAACAUAUCUGAGAGUAACUGUUCAGGUAUUGACGGUAUUUAACCAGAAAGCCACGGCUAACUACGUGCCAGCAG
This 167-nucleotide ribosomal RNA is filed under the name uncultured bacterium. RNAcentral describes it as "partial 16S ribosomal RNA". It matches the Rfam family "Bacterial small subunit ribosomal RNA", at positions 355 to 514 of the family's 1533-position model. The record is from RNAcentral.